UCCCUUUCAAUCGGCCCCGGGACAGCCUAUAUCUGCGGUGCCGGCUUGCCGGCUAUGGUGAUAAACGGUGAUUGGAAUAAUCGUUGUGGACCCGGGGGCAGUGCCCGGCGCCUCCACCAAACCUCAUCCCUUGCAAAAGGGUGGGUUAUUUGGGGGCGAAACAGGCUCGACACGCGUGGUAAAGACUCAUCUUUUGCCCGGCAUUGUACCGCCGUUAUCGGGCUGUAAUACAAGUGCCAAUGACAAUCAUGAGGCAUUCGCUGUCGCAGCGUAAGCUGCAAUAAGCGCGGUUAGGGGGGCCCCGGGCAACAGAAUGCCCCCCACU
This 325-nucleotide transfer-messenger RNA is filed under the name Acetobacteraceae bacterium. It matches the Rfam family "Alphaproteobacteria transfer-messenger RNA". Rfam says of the family: Bacterial tmRNA, also known as 10Sa RNA or SsrA, is named for its dual tRNA and mRNA-like properties. Its role is to liberate the mRNA from a stalled ribosome. Lineage: Bacteria; Pseudomonadati; Pseudomonadota; Alphaproteobacteria; Acetobacterales; Acetobacteraceae. The record is from RNAcentral.